Non-coding RNA from Ralstonia pickettii 12J, 89 nucleotides. NCBI's taxonomy places the organism in Bacteria, Pseudomonadati, Pseudomonadota, Betaproteobacteria, Burkholderiales, Burkholderiaceae. The record is from Rfam.
UACUUUGGCGGGCCGGAUGGUGAGACCUUCGGGUCUACCGGUUUCCUUGGGACCGGGUCGCUAACACCAUCGUCAGGCCCGCCACCCUC